CCUACGGGGGGCAGCAGUGAGGAAUAUUGGUCAAUGGACGAGAGUCUGAACCAGCCAAGUAGCGUGAAGGAUGACUGCCCUAUGGGUUGUAAACUUCUUUUAUAUGGGAAUAAAAUGUUCCACGUGUGGGAUUUUGUAUGUACCAUAUGAAUAAGGAUCGGCUAACUCCGUGCCAGCAGCCGCGGUAAUACGGAGGAUCCGAGCUUUAUCCGGAUUUAUUGGGUUUAAAGGGAGCGUAGGUGGAUUGUUAAGUCAGUUGUGAAAGUUUGCGGCUCAACCGUAAAAUUGCAGUUGAAACUGGCAGUCUUGAGUACAGUAGAGGUGGGCGGAAUUCGUGGUGUAGCGGUGAAAUGCUUAGAUAUCACGAAGAACUCCGAUUGCGAAGGCAGUUCACUGGACUGCAACUGACACUGAGGCUCGAAAGUGUGUGUAUCAAACAGGAUUAGAUACCCUGGUAGUC
Molecule: ribosomal RNA, 460 nt
Filed under: uncultured bacterium
Lineage: Bacteria
Description: partial 16S ribosomal RNA
Rfam family: Bacterial small subunit ribosomal RNA
Source: RNAcentral